Molecule: ribosomal RNA, 937 nt
Filed under: Saccharomyces cerevisiae (brewer's yeast)
Lineage: Eukaryota; Fungi; Ascomycota; Saccharomycetes; Saccharomycetales; Saccharomycetaceae
Description: SSU rRNA
Rfam family: Eukaryotic small subunit ribosomal RNA
Source: RNAcentral
CAUAUGGUUGUCUCAAAGAUUAAGCCAUGCAUGUCUAAGUAUAAGCAAUUUAUACAGUGAAACUGCGAAUGGCUCAUUAAAUCAGUUAUCGUUUAUUUGAUAGUUCCUUUACUACAUGGUAUAACUGUGGUAAUUCUAGAGCUAAUACAUGCUUAAAAUCUCGACCCUUUGGAAGAGAUGUAUUUAUUAGAUAAAAAAUCAAUGUCUUCGGACUCUUUGAUGAUUCAUAAUAACUUUUCGAAUCGCAUGGCCUUGUGCUGGCGAUGGUUCAUUCAAAUUUCUGCCCUAUCAACUUUCGAUGGUAGGAUAGUGGCCUACCAUGGUUUCAACGGGUAACGGGGAAUAAGGGUUCGAUUCCGGAGAGGGAGCCUGAGAAACGGCUACCACAUCCAAGGAAGGCAGCAGGCGCGCAAAUUACCCAAUCCUAAUUCAGGGAGGUAGUGACAAUAAAUAACGAUACAGGGCCCAUUCGGGUCUUGUAAUUGGAAUGAGUACAAUGUAAAUACCUUAACGAGGAACAAUUGGAGGGCAAGUCUGGUGCCAGCAGCCGCGGUAAUUCCAGCUCCAAUAGCGUAUAUUAAAGUUGUUGCAGUUAAAAAGCUCGUAGUUGAACUUUGGGCCCGGUUGGCCGGUCCGAUUUUUUCGUGUACUGGAUUUCCAACGGGGCCUUUCCUUCUGGCUAACCUUGAGUCCUUGUGGCUCUUGGCGAACCAGGACUUUUACUUUGAAAAAAUUAGAGUGUUCAAAGCAGGCGUAUUGCUCGAAUAUAUUAGCAUGGAAUAAUAGAAUAGGACGUUUGGUUCUAUUUUGUUGGUUUCUAGGACCAUCGUAAUGAUUAAUAGGGACGGUCGGGGGGCUCAGCAUUCAAUUUGUCAGAGGUGAAAUUCUUGGAUUAUUGAAGACUAACUAUUGCGAAAGUAUUUGCCCAGGACGUUUU